GCGGGACACGUGGUAUCCUGUCUGAAUAUGGGGGGACCAUCCUCCAAGGCUAAAUACUCCUGACUGACCGAUAGUGAACCAGUACCGUGAGGGAAAGGCGAAAAGAACCCCGGCGAGGGGAGUGAAAAAGAACCUGAAACCGUGUACGUACAAGCAGUGGGAGCACGCUUAGGCGUGUGACUGCGUACCUUUUGUAUAAUGGGUCAGCGACUUAUAUUCUGUAGCAAGGUUAACCGAAUAGGGGAGCCGAAGGGAAACCGAGUCUUAACUGGGCGUUAAGUUGCAGGGUAUAGACCCGAAACCCGGUGAUCUAGCCAUGGGCAGGUUGAAGGUUGGGUAACACUAACUGGAGGACCGAACCGACUAAUGUUGAAAAAUUAGCGGAUGACUUGUGGCUGGGGGUGAAAGGCCAAUCAAACCGGGAGAUAGCUGGUUCUCCCCGAAAGCUAUUUAGGUAGCGCCUCGUGAAUUCAUCUCCGGGGGUAGAGCACUGUUUCGGCAAGGGGGUCAUCCCGACUUACCAACCCGAUGCAAACUGCGAAUACCGGAGAAUGUUAUCACGGGAGACACACGGCGGGUGCUAACGUCCGUCGUGAAGAGGGAAACAACCCAGACCGCCAGCUAAGGUCCCAAAGUCAUGGUUAAGUGGGAAACGAUGUGGGAAGGCCCAGACAGCCAGGAUGUUGGCUUAGAAGCAGCCAUCAUUUAAAGAAAGCGUAAUAGCUCACUGGUCGAGUCGGCCUGCGCGGAAGAUGUAACGGGGCUAAACCAUGCAC
Molecule: ribosomal RNA, 776 nt
Filed under: Escherichia coli
Lineage: Bacteria; Pseudomonadati; Pseudomonadota; Gammaproteobacteria; Enterobacterales; Enterobacteriaceae
Description: partial 23S ribosomal RNA
Rfam family: Bacterial large subunit ribosomal RNA
Source: RNAcentral